ACCGUCUCCCUUCACUGCUCCUUCCGCCUUCUUUUGUACCCCCCUUGAUAAGGAGGUCCUGAUGUGUCUCCUGGCACACCUGAAUGCGAUGAGCUUUAUUCCGAUGGUGGAGGUGGCAGGCCUUUGGCUGGAACAUACACCCCUUUUACUACUCUGCCUCUCAGCCCUUUACAGUUUAUUUUGGUUUUGGACUCCAGGUAGUUGUUAACUCCGCUUCUUCUCCAGUCUUCCAUGAAUCAUGGUUAUAUCUGGACCCUAGACCUACCUUCUGCCAUGGCGCUGCUGACACCCUUUGGCUACCAUGACUAUUAUUAUUAGGCACAUUACUAUUAGUGUCAUCAUACAUGCACCUUACUGACUUUGCUUCUUUUCAGUAUCCUCUGUGAAGGUGGUUUUUGAAGGUGUCAGCUGAGGUGGUUCGGGGAUCUAACUAGGAUACCUCGGACGUCUCCCACUGGAAGUUUUUCAGCCACACCCAAAUGUAUCAAAGGGUUUGCAUAAACUGGCGCCCUGCUUUAGUAAAACACUGCAAGCGGAAGUGGGGAGCAGACAAACAAAAGACUAGAUGAGACUGGACUCCUCUAAAUCCCAGCCGGAGGCCGCUUCCACCCACACCUCUCUUCUCCAUCCAGCCAGUGCAUCCUCACCCACCAGCUUCAUCCCCAAUCUCCCCUCAAUCCCCUCUCCUUCUCAUUCUCUACAAAAGUGGUUUCCAGGACUUCCAGACCUUGUUCCUUUUUCUUCUUCCCUGUGCUGGUAAACUGUCUGAAGAGUGAGAAGGACGUGUAAGUGUUAAUUUGUCAUCAAACUAUCCAUUUCCAAGAAUGCUUCAAAAACUAUCAAGCUGAAACACUGGUAUUACAGUAUAAAAACUGAUUACAGCUGACUAGCUUAACUAGCUGACAUAGAAAAGUAUUCAUAGAAAAUUCAUAGAAAAAGUAAAGAAAAGUAUUAAAUAAGUAUUCACUUUUAUCUGUGGUUUUAAGAUGAACCAGGAUGGCCCUGCUAAACACAUGUCACUGGGAAAUAUGCCUUUUAUCAGAAGGAUUUUUAACCCCUUAUUGUUUGGCUUACUAUGUGAUACAGAAACUUGCCUCUGGAGUGCUGGCGAGUUCAACUCUGUUUCAGAACUUUACCAGUAGAUGGUACAUAUUUCGACCCUCCAAGGACUGCUGGACAUAGAGGCAGGUUGACCGCAAAAAAAUUGAGAUCUCGUUGAAUGCCGAAGAACUAAUCCCACAAUUAUAUUCUACUUGACAGACCUUUUUAGAUAGUGUUACACCUUUACAAAAUCAUUCAUUCUGAGCCCAAAUGUAAACCAUGGCUGGACGACAUAGCUUUGCCAUGAGACCAGAAUGUAUAAGGGCACAACAUAACACACACAAGUUUUUGUGGUGAACACCACAUGCUGCAGCCGAGCAUUGACUGUCACGCAGAGUGACUGUUACGCAGACUGACUAUCACACAGUCUCUCAUACUGUCUCACACACUGCUUGCUGAAACCAUUUACACUUGCAUUAACAAGGAAUAUCAAGUAUUUUUUGCCAACUUUCAGACAGAUGAAGUUGCAUUGCUGUCUGUCUCUCACACUGUCUCACACACUGUAAAUGUUUGUACAGUGUUGCGAUGCAGAGAACAUAUGGAAAGCCACUGCAUGUUGUGCUCUUUGUAAAGUUAUGUUGGUUUAUUUGGCGCUUAAUAAACUUCUGGAUGUUUCACUGCUUAAAUUGAUUGAAUUUCUGAUUAUGAGUAAUGCAUACUGAUCCUCCCAUACACAGAUUCAGACACACAUUAUAAAACUCCUAGUUCUAUAUAUACAUCUGCACGUACAUAUGGUAUAUAAGCGCAUGCAGUACAUAUAUAUUCAUAACUAUUUAUUCGUAUCAAUAAGAUAUUCUUUUAAGAAAGAACUUUUAAUCAUUAGGGAUUUUUUUAUGGGCUUUACAGACUUUUACAACAACCACACCGAGUGCUGUAAUGCAUUUGCCUCCACAUCUGCAACUGGUCCAGAACGCUGCAGAUUGUUUUUAAGCAAGAAAACACAAGAAAGAUUCAAUCUUAACAUUAAUUUUUUUGAAUUUUUACGGGAAUUACCAUACUCUUAUUGCUUUUACAGUUGUUUGUUUUUAUUUGUUCUUUUUUUAAAAUUUUGCAGUCUAAUGUUGCUUUACUGGGCUGUUUGUCUGUGUCUGCCAUGUUUGAUUAUACAGCACUUUGGUCUACUCUUGUUAAAGAUCUUCUAUACAUUGGUUUGUACGGGGAAUAAUCUGGAUAUUUUUUUGUUUUUGGUCAAUCGAAACUAAAUAUUGCAAAAUGCGAUAUUUCCAAUUGUUUAAAGGUUUUCAUUCUCUGAAUCGUCAGUGGUCAAGGAAGAAAGAGUUUGUUAUAUUGCACGGCUCUUAGAACUCCUUGAGGCAAUAUUGUGCUCUGUGAAGCCAAGCCAUAUCAAUAAAAUUGACCCCUCGACUUGAGGGAAAACCUGAAAUUUAUUCCAUAUGAAAUGUUGAUUACUAUUGUUGAAGAACAUCCCUGAUGAAUCCAGCACAUAGAGACUCAGUUCAGUGCAGAAUUGUGCUGUGGUGUAGGCUGGUGUAAAGCUUUACCUCGCUGUUGAGCUCUGUGAAAGCGCUCCAAAGCUCAGGCCCUCAGGCGCUGAGCUCGGGUUUGGUCAUCUCACCCUCCAUUUCCCAGUCCUGGCACUCCGUGCCAUCCAAUCUCCAAGUCCUGGCCGCUUUUUCCAGUAUUAGUCCCAACCGUCUGUUCUGCACUGCAGGACUCUAACUGCCCAUUGGCACUAUGGUAGCUCCUACAGCCAAGCUAGUUAUCCAUUCUCCAAAGAGCUGAAACACUGGAGCAAAGACUGAUAGAUUCCUGAGCCAAGCAGCUAAAUGACUUUGCAUGCAUCAGUGAAAUUAAUGGUUGAAUUCUAAAUAU
This is a long non-coding RNA of Gasterosteus aculeatus aculeatus (three-spined stickleback), 2934 nucleotides long. The record is from Ensembl. NCBI's taxonomy places the organism in Eukaryota, Metazoa, Chordata, Actinopteri, Perciformes, Gasterosteidae.